AACGAACGCUGGCGGCAUGCCUAACACAUGCAAGUCGAACGAUACCUUCGGGUCUAGUGGCGCACGGGUGCGUAACGCGUGGGAACCUGCCCUUAGGUUCGGAAUAACUCCCCGAAAGGGGUGCUAAUACCGGAUAAUGUCUUCGGACCAAAGAUUUAUCGCCUUUGGAUGGGCCCGCGUUGGAUUAGCUAGUUGGUAGGGUAAAAGCCUACCAAGGCGACGAUCCAUAGCUGGUCUGAGAGGAUGAUCAGCCACACUGGGACUGAGACACGGCCCAGACUCCUACGGGAGGAAGCAGUGGGGAAUAUUGGACGAUGGGCGAAAGCCUGAUCCAGCAAUGCCGCGUGAGUGAUGAAGGCCUUAGGGUUGUAAAGCUCUUUUACCCGGGAUGAUAAUGACAGUACCGGGAGAAUAAGCUCCGGCUAACUCCGUG
RNAcentral lists this ribosomal RNA (433 nucleotides) under uncultured bacterium. RNAcentral describes it as "partial 16S ribosomal RNA". It matches the Rfam family "Bacterial small subunit ribosomal RNA", at positions 29 to 507 of the family's 1533-position model. The record is from RNAcentral.